CAGUAGCCGCGGUAAAACGGAGGGGGCUAGCGUUGUUCGGAAUUACUGGGCGUAAAGCGCACGUAGGCGGCUUGGUAAGUUAGAGGUGAAAGCCUGGAGCUCAACUCCAGAAUUGCCUUUAAGACUGCCGAGCUAGCAGGUGAGAGAGGUAAGUGGAAUUCCGAGUGUAGAGGUGAAAUUCGUAGAUAUUCGGAAGAACACCAGUGGCGAAGGCGGCUUACUGGCUCAUACUGGACGCUGAGGUGCGAAAGCGUGGGGAGCAAACAGGAUUAGAUACCCGAGUAGUCCCUGUCUCUUAUAU
RNAcentral lists this ribosomal RNA (301 nucleotides) under uncultured bacterium. RNAcentral's name for it is "partial 16S ribosomal RNA". It matches the Rfam family "Bacterial small subunit ribosomal RNA", at positions 509 to 809 of the family's 1533-position model. The record is from RNAcentral.